AUUGAACGCUGGCGGCAUGCCUUACACAUGCAAGUCGAACGGUAACAGGUCUUCGGAUGCUGACGAGUGGCGAACGGGUGAGUAAUACAUCGGAACGUGCCUAGUAGUGGGGGAUAACUACUCGAAAGAGUGGCUAAUACCGCAUGAGAUCUACGGAUGAAAGCAGGGGAUCGCAAGACCUUGUGCUUCUAGAGCGGCCGAUGGCAGAUUAGGGAGUUGGUGGGAUAAAAGCUUACCAAGCCGACGAUCUGUAGCUGGUCUGAGAGGACGAUCAGCCCAACUGGGACUGGGAGACGGCCCAGACUCCUCCGGGAGGCAGCAGGGGGGAAUUUUGGACAAUGGGCGCAAGCCUGAUCCAGCAAUGCCGCGUGCAGGAUGAAGGCCUUCGGGUUGUAAACUGCUUUUGUACGGAACGAAAAGCCCCGGGUUAAUACCCUGGGGUCAUGACGGUACCGUAAGAAUAAGCACCGGCUAACUACGUGCCAGCCGCCGCCGUAA
RNAcentral lists this ribosomal RNA (498 nucleotides) under uncultured bacterium. RNAcentral's name for it is "partial 16S ribosomal RNA". It matches the Rfam family "Bacterial small subunit ribosomal RNA", at positions 30 to 523 of the family's 1533-position model. The record is from RNAcentral.